Molecule: unclassified non-coding RNA, 379 nt
Filed under: soil metagenome
Description: partial contains 5.8S ribosomal RNA, internal transcribed spacer 2, and large subunit ribosomal RNA
Rfam family: 5.8S ribosomal RNA (bases 1-120)
Source: RNAcentral
GAUGAAGAACGCAGCGAAAUGCGAUAAGUAAUGUGAAUUGCAGAAUUCAGUGAAUCAUCGAAUCUUUGAACGCACCUUGCACCCUUUGGCAUUCCGAAGGGUAUGCUCGUUUGAGUGUCAUUGUACUCUCACACUUCCGAUCUUCGGAUUGGGAGCGGUGGACUUGGGUGUUGCUGCUUACUGUGGCUCACCUCAAAUCGAUUCGUGCACCUCUUGGUUGGACAUAGUACGGCGUGAUAAGUGUCUUCGCCGGCACCUCAGUAGAGGGUGGCUGAUCGGGAGCUCUGUGCUUCAAACCGUCCUCGGACAACAACUGACAACUUGACCUCAAAUCGAGUAGGACUACCCGCUGAACUUAAGCAUAUCAAUAAGCGGAGGA